GGAUAGGUCUGCGGCUGAUUAGGUCGUUGGUGGGGUAAUGGCCCACCAAGCCGAUGAUCGGUACGGGUUGUGAGAGCAAGGGCCCGGAGAUGGAACCUGAGACAAGGUUCCAGACCCUACGGGGUGCAGCAGGCGCGAAACCUCCGCAAUGUACGAAAGUGCGACGGGGGGAUCCCAAGUGUUAUGCUUUUUUGUAUGACUUUUCAUUAGUGUAAAAAGCUUUUAGAAUAAGAGCUGGGCAAGACCGGUGCCAGCCGCCGCGGUAACACCGGCAGCUCGAGUGGUAGCUGUUUUUAUUGGGCCUAAAGCGUUCGUAGCCGGUUUGAUAAGUCUUUGGUGAAAGCUUGUAGCUUAACUAUAAGAAUUGCUGGAGAUACUAUUAGACUUGAAGUCGGGAGAGGUUAGAGGUACUACCGGGGUAGGGGUGAAAUCCUAUAAUCCUGGGAGGACCACCUGUGGCGAAGGCGUCUAACUGGAACGAUCUUGACGGUGAGUAACGAAAGCCAGGGGCGCGAACCGGAUUAGAUACCCGGGUAGUCCUGGCCGUAAACGAUGUGGACUUGGUGUUGGAAUGGCUUUGAGUUGUUCCGGUGCCGAAGGGAAGCUGUUAAGUCCACCGCCUGGGAAGUACGGUCGCAAGACUGAAACUUAA
This 652-nucleotide ribosomal RNA is filed under the name uncultured archaeon. Its description in RNAcentral is "bacterial SSU rRNA". It matches the Rfam family "Archaeal small subunit ribosomal RNA", at positions 207 to 859 of the family's 1478-position model. The record is from RNAcentral.